This 599-nucleotide long non-coding RNA is filed under the name Ananas comosus (pineapple). RNAcentral's name for it is "long non-coding RNA (ACOM_LNC013077)". Lineage: Eukaryota; Viridiplantae; Streptophyta; Magnoliopsida; Poales; Bromeliaceae. The record is from RNAcentral.
AUACUAAAUUUUGACAUUCAUAUUUAUAUUCGGUCAAAUCUGGUAUCGACACUACAACAAAAGCGGUCUAUAGCGACACUUUUAAAUAUAGGUAUAUGUCAAAAAAGUGCUGCUAGCUAAAAUUAGCGACACUUUUAAAAAGUGUUGCUAUAUGUGGGGUCGCUAGGUAUAUAGUGACAGUUAAAAAGUGUCGCUAUAACCUAAAAGAGUGCUGUUAAUUUACCAACACUUAUUUAAGCAUUUAGCAACCGUCGAAACUCUAUCUCGUUGGCUGCGGUGGCGGAGGAGGACGAUCGUCUAGAAUUUCAGUGGAUUGAGUGAAGAGAGAAGAAAAGAUGGUAAUUAAUUUUUCNUUUUUUUUUUUUUUUUUCUGUUUGUAAUCGAGUCAAAUGGACUGAGUGUGGUGGGUUGAGUAUAGUAAUCUUUUAUUUUUGAUUGGAUUAAGCUUUAUAUUUAGGCAUAAGUAAAUAUUUUUUUAAAUUUUAGCAUAAAUAGGAUACUUAUUCAAAAGUGUUCCAAACAUGUAUUCCUAUAACUUGUAGUGCGAAUUUGAUCGGAGUUUAUCCAGACUGCUUCCACCCAUAAUCGAUCACAAGUAU